RNAcentral lists this unclassified non-coding RNA (83 nucleotides) under Chelativorans sp. BNC1. RNAcentral describes it as "Meso_R0071; gcvT element as predicted by Rfam". Lineage: Bacteria; Pseudomonadati; Pseudomonadota; Alphaproteobacteria; Hyphomicrobiales; Phyllobacteriaceae. The record is from RNAcentral.
AGAAAAGUAUGCUAUUGUACUGUCUGAACGCGCUGUGGGUUGCGAUGUCUCGGGACCGGGCGUCGAUAUAGACCGCCUGCGGC